CUUAGCUCAGCUGGGAGAGCGCCUGCUUUGCACGCAGGAGGUCAGCGGUUCGAUCCCGCUAGGCUCCAUUAACAACGGAAGUUGUUAAGAUUUUGUCCAUUGAAAAUUGAAUAUCUAUCAAACAUUCCUAAACGUAUGUAAAAGUACGUAUAGAAAUAGUAACAAGAAAAUAAACCGAAAACGCUGUGAAUAUUUAAUGAGUUUUCUAAUUUUUGAAAAAAUUAGGUUAAAACAAGUUACGAAGACGUUAAGGAAAACGUAUGAUUUUAGGAAAUCAUCGCAGUAGUCUAAGGACUACAAGAGGAUUUGUCUAAAUCACUAGUUUUCUAGUCUGAGUACGAUUAUAAGGUUAAGUUAAUAAGGGCGCACGGUGGAUGCCUUUGAGAGGAUCUGCUCCUAGUACGAGAGGACCAGAGUGGACUUACCGCUGGUGUACCAGUUGUCUUGCCAAAGGCAUCGCUGGGUAGCUAUGUAGGGACGGGAUAAACGCUGAAAGCAUCUAAGUGUGAAACCCACCUCAAGAUGAGAUUUCCCAUAACUUUAUGUUAGUAAGAGCCCUGAGAGAUGAUCAGGUAGAUAGGUUGGAAGUGGAAGUGUGGCGACACAUGUAGCGGACCAAUACUAAUCGCUCGAGGACUUAUCCAAAGAAAUAAACUAGAGUCAAUAUUGACAAGCGAUCGGUUUCUUGUUAGAAUAUAGAUAUUCAAUUUUGAGUUGACAAGACUCAGUAGUUAAGUGACGAUAGCCUAGGAGAUACACCUGUACCCAUGCCGAACACAGCAGUUAAGCCCUAGAACGCCUGAAGUAGUUGGGGGUUGCCCCCUGUUAGAUACGGUAGUCGCUUAGCAAAUUGGGAGUUUAGCUCAGCUGGGAGAGCAUCUGCCUUACAAGCAGAGGGUCAGCGGUUCGAUCCCGUUAACUCCCAUAGGUCCCGUAGUGUAGCGGUUAUCACGUCGCCCUGUCACGGCGAAGAUCGCGGGUUCGAUUCCCGUCGGGACCGUUGAAACGAAUCAAUCAUAUGUUUCAAGUAAUAUAAUUAAGUAAAGACUCGUUAGCUCAGUUGGUAGAGCAAUUGACUUUUAAUCAAUGGGUCGCUGGUUCGAGCCCAGCACGAGUCAUAUGCGGGUUUGGCGGAAUUGGCAGACGCACCAGAUUUAGGAUCUGGCGCUUUCGGGCGUGGGGGUUCAAGUCCCUUAACCCGCAUAGAAUGGAAAUAGGCCGGCUUAGCUCAGUUGGUAGAGCAUCUGAUUUGUAAUCAGAGGGUCGCGUGUUCAAGUCAUGUAGCCGGCAUUAGGAAAGAUUGCGAACGUAGUUCAGUGGUAGAACACCACCUUGCCAAGGUGGGGGUCGCGGGUUCGAAUCCCGUCGUUCGCUUUGAGAGGCCGGGGUGGCGGAACUGGCAGACGCACAGGACUUAAAAUCCUGCGAUGGCAACAUCGUACCGGUUCGAUUCCGGUCCUCGGCAUGAAGAUUAUAAUAGUUAGCACCCUUAGCUCAACUGGAUAGAGUACCUGACUACGAAUCAGGCGGUUAGAGGUUCGAAUCCUCUAGGGUGCAUCACUCGCUUAAUGGAGACGUUAGGGGAGCUUUAUUUUUAAUAGUAUCGGGAAGUAGCUCAGCUUGGUAGAGUACUUGGUUUGGGACCAAGGUGUCGCAGGUUCGAAUCCUGUCUUCCCGAUUAUCGGGAGAAGGGGUGCUGGCUUAAAGUCAGCCGCAGUGAAUAGGCCCAAGCAACUGUUUAUCAAAAACACAGCUCUCUGCUAAAUCGUAAGAUGAUGUAUAGGGGGUGACGCCUGCCCGGUGCUGGAAGGUUAAGAGGAGGGUUUAGCGCAAGCGAAGAUCUGAAUUGAAGCCCCAGUAAACGGCGGCCGUAACUAUAACGGUCCUAAGGUAGCGAAAUUCCUUGUCGGGUAAGUUCCGACCCGCACGAAAGGCGUAAUGAUUUGGGCACUGUCUCAACGAGAGACUCGGUGAAAUUUUAGUACCUGUGAAGAUGCAGGUUACCCGCGACAGGACGGAAAGACCCCAUGGAGCUUUACUGCAGUUUGAUAUUGAGUAUCUGUACCACAUGUACAGGAUAGGUAGGAGCCUACGAAGUCGGGACGCCAGUUUCGACUGAGGCGCUGUUGGGAUACUACCCUUGUGUUAUGGCUACUCUAACCCGGAUAGGUUAUCCCUAUCGGAGACAGUGUCUGACGGGCAGUUUGACUGGGGCGGUCGCCUCCUAAAAGGUAACGGAGGCGCCCAAAGGUUCCCUCAGAAUGGUUGGAAAUCAUUCGCAGAGUGUAAAGGUAUAAGGGAGCUUGACUGCGAGAGCUACAACUCGAGCAGGGACGAAAGUCGGGCUUAGUGAUCCGGUGGUUCCGUAUGGAAGGGCCAUCGCUCAACGGAUAAAAGCUACCCUGGGGAUAACAGGCUUAUCUCCCCCAAGAGUUCACAUCGACGGGGAGGUUUGGCACCUCGAUGUCGGCUCGUCGCAUCCUGGGGCUGUAGUCGGUCCCAAGGGUUGGGCUGUUCGCCCAUUAAAGCGGCACGCGAGCUGGGUUCAGAACGUCGUGAGACAGUUCGGUCCCUAUCCGUCGCGGGCGUAGGAAAUUUGAGAGGAUCUGCUCCUAGUACGAGAGGACCAGAGUGGACUUACCGCUGGUGUACCAGUUGUCUUGCCAAAGGCAUCGCUGGGUAGCUAUGUAGGGACGGGAUAAACGCUGAAAGCAUCUAAGUGUGAAACCCACCUCAAGAUGAGAUUUCCCAUAACUUUAUGUUAGUAAGAGCCCUGAGAGAUGAUCAGGUAGAUAGGUUGGAAGUGGAAGUGUGGCGACACAUGUAGCGGACCAAUACUAAUCGCUCGAGGACUUAUCC
Molecule: ribosomal RNA, 2859 nt
Filed under: Streptococcus suis
Lineage: Bacteria; Bacillati; Bacillota; Bacilli; Lactobacillales; Streptococcaceae
Source: RNAcentral